UGGGGAACAUCCCUGGGUCUCAGCUCACAGAGUAACCCAGUUCAUCCAAAAGAAAAAAAAAAAAAGGAUCCUGAAUGACAAAUUAUUUCUAGCACAAUUCAGAGCUGCUUGCCCUGUCUGGUCCCCAGCAUUCUCUGCUCCUGCACUGUGGAUACUGUACCCUAAAAUAUAUAGUCCCUUAUCUGAUAAAGCCUAUGCCUGAGGCUCUGAGCUUGUUUCACCCUAGCCCUGCCCUGCCUGCAUCUCUUAGACUGAGGACUUUCUCCAAAGCUGGGAAAGGAUCCCCUGCCCAGGCACAGGCAGCCUGCAAAUCCUGAAGGGUUAAGCGCUAAUUCUUGGGCUCCACCCCAGACUUACUGAAUCAGAAAUUCUGAGGACAGAGUCUAGCAAUCUGUAUUUCUAAAAGCCCUCUAGGUGAUGGUGACGCAUGUGCAACUUUGAGAAUGUCCAAUCUUGGCCAUAGCAAUCAGCCUCCUGGAUUAGAGGGCCAGAUGAAGUGGAGAGGGGGUCUGCGGGCACACAGGAUAUCAGCACAUUUUGUGAGACUUAUCUUCUCCCAAUCUAGGAAAAGCCACUGGGCUCAGGUGUAUUGGGGUCUUAGCAAAACCCAGAGGACUUUUUUCACAGUAGGUUUCUCUGCUGAUUCCUGGGGAGACAGAGCUGGGGGUGACAGAAUGGGUGCCUUAUUCAAUGCUCCUGACUCUCAGCCUCCAUUCUUCUUCACUGUCUCUGAGGGUGGCCAUUGCCUGGGUCCUACAGAUGCCUUGUGGUGCAGAAACCAUUGGUACCCUGCCACAGAAUAUUAAAUGUCCCCAGAACCUGCCCUCAAUUAAUGACUGAUGGAAGUGGGUAUAUACAUACCCCAGCUCCCUCUCUGCUUAGGUAGAAUGACUCCCAGAGCUCCUCAGCCGAAUUAAGCCUCAACUUGCUACAAUGGCAACUUGCUGAAUGACACACCCCUAUUAGAUUUCUUCUUUCUCUGUCUCACUUCCCACUCCCCUGCUGGUGUUUCCUGGGAUCACCCCCCCCCCCCACAACAACUACUUGCAUCCAAAUACAUAUCUCAUGUUCUUCUUUUGAAGAAAUCCAAAUAUACAGAAAAGUUGAGCAGAAAGUACAUCAUUCCCACGUACUCCCUCCCACCCACAUACUGUUUCCCCUAUUAUUAACAUCUUGCAUUAGUGUGGUACAUUCAUUACAAUUAACUAAUAUUGAUUUAUUAUUAUUAGCUAAAGUCCAUAGUUUAUUCAGGUUUGCUUUUUAUGUUGUACAGUUCUAUAGGAUUUGACAAAUGUACAAUGACAUAUAUCUACUAUUGCACUAUUGUAUAGAAUAGCUUCACUGCCUUAAACAUCCUCUAUGCUUCACCUAUUCAUCCUUCCCUCCUCCCAAGCCCCUGGAAACUACUGAUCUUUUUCCUGUGUCUAGAGUUUUAUCUUUUUCCAGAAUGUCAUAUAGUCAGAAUUGUACAGUAUGUAGCCUUUUCAGAUUGGCUUCUUUCACUUAGAAAUAUGCAUUUAAGUUUCCUCCAUGUCUGUUGCGGCUUGAUAACUCAUUUCUGCUUCUCACUGAACCAUAGGCCAUUGUAUGGAUAUCUAAUGAAUGCUCCUUGACUUACAGUGAGGUUAUA
Molecule: long non-coding RNA, 1630 nt
Filed under: Pan troglodytes (chimpanzee)
Lineage: Eukaryota; Metazoa; Chordata; Mammalia; Primates; Hominidae
Description: long non-coding RNA NONPTRT009240
Source: RNAcentral